Molecule: ribosomal RNA, 468 nt
Filed under: uncultured bacterium
Lineage: Bacteria
Description: partial 16S ribosomal RNA
Rfam family: Bacterial small subunit ribosomal RNA
Source: RNAcentral
GACGAACGCUGGCGGCGUGCUUAACACAUGCAAGUCGAACGGAAAGGCCCUGCUUUUGUGGGGUGCUCGAGUGGCGAACGGGUGAGUAACACGUGAGUAACCUGCCCUUGACUUUGGGAUAACUUCAGGAAACUGGGGCUAAUACCGGAUAGGAGCUCCUGCUGCAUGGUGGGGGUUGGAAAGUUUCGGCGGUUGGGGAUGGACUCGCGGCUUAUCAGCUUGUUGGUGGGGUAGUGGCUUACCAAGGCUUUGACGGGUAGCCGGCCUGAGAGGGUGACCGGCCACAAUGGGACUGAGAUACGGCCCAGACUCCUACGGGAGGCAGCAGUGGGGAAUAUUGCACAAUGGGCGGAAGCCUGAUGCAGCAACGCCGCGUGCGGGAUGACGGCCGUCGGGUUGUAAACCGCUUUCGCCUGUGACGAAGCGUGAGUGACGGUAAUGGGUAAAGAAGCACCGGCUAACUACGUG